Long non-coding RNA from Gallus gallus (chicken), 2297 nucleotides. The record is from Ensembl. NCBI's taxonomy places the organism in Eukaryota, Metazoa, Chordata, Aves, Galliformes, Phasianidae.
AGGAAGCAGAGGCACUUUCAGAAAGCAUGUUGCAUCAUGGGGAAGUUUCAGCCCCUUCUUCAUCAACUAUUACUGGAGAUCCUUGUGGUCAUACUCAAACCUAAUUGUACAAAGUACUAUUAAACAGGAGAUUAAUACAGAUGAGAAUAUCUUCUCAAUGAGAUUAAUUCUCAACAAAUGAAAAAUCCUAGAAAAAGAUCCUGGAAGACACUUCAGCAAACCUUUGAGCACACUGUCUUGUUCUAAGGCAAGAUUCAAUGUAUUAACCCCUGUCAAGAGUUUAUUCAACCUUUUUUUGUAGGAAUAAUAGGCCUUCUUCCUACUGACAUGGAUUCUCAGAUGGAUCAGUAAUUCAUGUGGCAUUAUCAUCCUGUGAAGAGAAGCCUUGGAAGAGCAAAACAUUGAAACAGAUAAAAGACCUGGAAGAUCCUGUUAUCCUGUCUUUGGCAAGGUACAGAACAAGUGCACAGAGUUGUUUCCCCAGAAAUAUUCACCUUCCUUCCUCCAACAGUUUGCAACUCAAUGUCUUCCUGAGCCAGAGCAGUAAUCACAUUCAACUAUUACUGGACUUCUCUUCCCGGAAUAUUUUCCAUAUCACCUUCAAUUCAUGUAGAUGUUCAGUACCUACAGUAUCCAGAUACCUCUUGGGCCUGUAGCCACUGCCAACUCUUUUCAACAAAAGCUAACAGACUGUCCGCCAGAAGUUGAACAAUAUCAUCUGUCACUUCAAAGCGCUCUUGUGUACGACUUAUCUUACCCUGGCAGAAAGAGGUUCAUUGGGAACUAAAAUGGGCAAGACAUGCAAAGACAGUAGUGAAACAAGCCAAGGAAGGAAUUGUUCAGAAUGGACAACUAAUGCUCAUUUGCAGUGCUUUGGGACCGUGACUCCAUGGUCUCCCUGGGCUGCCUGUUCCAGUAUCCCAUCGCUCUUUGAGAAGAAAUGUUCUACAAGAUCCAAAAUGAACCUUCCUUGGUACAGCUUAAGGCCAUCGCCUCUCAUCCUGUUUCUGUUACCUGGGAGCAGAGGCUGACCCUCACCUCAUCACAACGUCUUUUCAGGGAGUUGUAGAGAGUUGUGAGGUCUCCACUGAUCCUCCUCUCAUCCAGACUGAACAAUCUCUUUUCCCUCAGCUGCUCUCCAUAAUAAUUGUGCUCCAGAACUUCUCAGCUUCGUUGAUCUUCUCUGGACAUGCUCCAGGACCUCAAUGUCUUUUACUGAGGAACUCAAAACUGAACACAUCACUCGGCCUCACCAGGGACAAUCAUCUCUCUGCUCCUGCUGACUUCAUUGUUUCUGAUAAAGCCAGGAUGCCAUCUACCUUACUGCUAAAAAAGUAUCCUUUUUACAUUUUCCACUUGGUACUCAUUAGGGCCACAUAAACCUUUCUGGGAGAUAUUGUCGCCCUCUUGCUUUGGAAGAGAAGCUAAGCCACAGUCACUGGUAUGUCCUCAGUGUGUAUGACCUCAUUUUAAUAGGUAGAAAUAGAGAGCUGUUCCAUGCAAACCAAAGCCACAAGCCUUAGGGGAUUUUUCUCCUUGAGAUUUGAACUAUUUGUUUGGCCUUUGUUAAGCAUAUUCAAUUUUUACUGGCAUUGUUUCUCUAAAGUAGUAACAAGCCAUCAGGGUUUUCUUCCUGAAAUGUAUGCUGUUAAUAUGUUCAUUGUCCUAUACACUCUAUGUCAGUUGAAGUUGUCUGGCUGCUGCUAACCCUCAUAAAGCUGUUGAGAAAUCAGUGAGGGAGAGGGAUUUUGGUCUAGGUAGAUAACUGAGCUCUUUAUAUCAUUUCUUUUUUCUACAGCUAGCAUGCACCAGAGUAAUAGCAAAGAAGCACAGUAAUGUUAAGCAUCUUGCCUAAAGAUCUAUGUGUGUUUCAUAGAGGAGUGAGACACUGGGGAUAUUUAUAAACCUACCUGGCAAGUAAACUCUAUUUAAGGAAACAAAAACAACAACAACAAAAAAACAGGAACAACAACUACUCUUGUAGAUUACAGGGGAUAUAAUUAAGGAGUAUCAGGGGUCCAACAUGUUUCUUGCUGAGAAAAAUAAGAACAGUUUCAUGCAAAACCCUUUUGCCUAGAGUAGCUUGACACAUCAUGCUAUUUUCCCGUGAAUUAUAUGCUGUCAUUUAAACAUAAGAGUAUAAACCUACUGGCUUACUACAAAGCUUUUAAAAUUUUAAUGCAUAUGAAAAUCUUUUCUCUUGCUUGAUAAAUGGUCCCAAAUUAAUGUAAAAUAAAUCUCCAUGUAGGUAACAUUCACAGAAAGAAAGGGAGAAAGACAGGCAAAAAAAAAAAAAA